Molecule: ribosomal RNA, 98 nt
Filed under: Staphylococcus epidermidis NIHLM031
Lineage: Bacteria; Bacillati; Bacillota; Bacilli; Caryophanales; Staphylococcaceae
Description: partial 16S ribosomal RNA
Rfam family: Bacterial small subunit ribosomal RNA
Source: RNAcentral
UUUUUAUGGAGAGUUUGAUCCUGGCUCAGGAUGAACGCUGGCGGCGUGCCUAAUACAUGCAAGUCGAGCGAACAGACGAGGAGCUUGCUCCUCUGACG